Rosa rugosa (rugosa rose) is the source of this 468-nucleotide long non-coding RNA. RefSeq lists it as uncharacterized. The record is from RefSeq and is a predicted model, not a curated record. NCBI's taxonomy places the organism in Eukaryota, Viridiplantae, Streptophyta, Magnoliopsida, Rosales, Rosaceae. The transcript is spliced from 3 exons.
CUUGUUGAUGUUUUCACUCUCCUUGCAUCUUUGUGUGCUUUUGCAUCUUUGAUCUGAUAUUUACCACUUUUUAAUAUUGCAAGUUGAUUUGCCUUGCUGGGUAUGAUGCUCCAAACUCGAGCGUAACAGGUAAGUGGCAGAGAAAUGGACAGAAGUGAAAUUAUUGAAGCAGAGGACAAUCUCACAUUGCAGAUACCUUCCCCUCAGUCAAUUCUUGCCAUUGCUAUCAAUGGCAACAGAAAACGAAAAUACACUGAAGUAGGCACUGGAGAAGUUUAUUCCUGAAGGAAACAUCUUUUUCAAGUUGAUACAUGUCCGAGCAAGAAUAACUGAAAUUCCAAUUCCCAAUAGGGAAUCUGAUUCCUAUUUCAGAAGUAUAAGAUGUAAUAGCUGCAUAUGGAAGGACAUGGAAUGGCAGAAAAGUGAGCUGCUUCUUCCACACUAGAAAGUUUGUGCUCUUAAGAAGGU